Molecule: long non-coding RNA, 495 nt
Organism: Oreochromis aureus
Lineage: Eukaryota; Metazoa; Chordata; Actinopteri; Cichliformes; Cichlidae
Exons: 5
Source: RefSeq, a predicted model, not a curated record
GUAUAUCCACAAGGUGGCAGUAAUGCAAAAACAGUUGUAAUGAAACCGCGAAGAACAACAAGGUUUCACGGCUUGGGCCUGCUCAUGCGCAAGACUUCAAAUUUAACUUAAAAACGUUGUUUUGGCGCCAAGCUGCUGUUUCUUUGAGAGAUCCUGCCUUUACCUGCUCCCUCCUAUACUGAUGUGGUGUAUGUGGUACUGCUGAGCUUGUAUGUGAUCUGAACCAUUGUAAAGGUUGCAGUUCAAGGGCCUGAGGUGGAAGCAGAAUUUGUGAGGAUUACUACUGCUCCACUUGUUCCAAGGCUUUUUGCACAACUUGACCAAUACACUGACCAGCUCAUAAAAGUCUUCAAGAAAAAAAGGAGGUGCUGCAGUGAAGAAAAUUAGACAAACUUUGGCUCCAGCCACAAAGAAGGAAACUAUUGAAAACGGGAGGGAGUGUGUCCUCAGGGCACUACCUUUUUACCUGAAUGAAGACCCAAGCAUCCUCUUCAA